This 434-nucleotide ribosomal RNA is filed under the name uncultured Oscillospiraceae bacterium. RNAcentral's name for it is "bacterial SSU rRNA". It matches the Rfam family "Bacterial small subunit ribosomal RNA", at positions 341 to 792 of the family's 1533-position model. Lineage: Bacteria; Bacillati; Bacillota; Clostridia; Eubacteriales; Oscillospiraceae. The record is from RNAcentral.
ACGGAAGGCAGCAGUGGGGAAUAUUGCACAAUGGGGGAAACCCUGAUGCAGCGACGCCGCGUGAAGGAAGAAGUAUCUCGGUAUGUAAACUUCUAUCAGCAGGGAAGAAAAUGACGGUACCUGACUAAGAAGCCCCGGCUAACUACGUGCCAGCAGCCGCGGUAAUACGUAGGAAGCAAGCGUUAUCCGGAUUUAUUGGGUGUAAAGGGUGCGUAGACGGGAAAACAAGUUAGUUGUGAAAUCCCUCGGCUUAACUGAGGAACUGCAACUAAAACUAUUUUUCUUGAGUGCUGGAGAGGAAAGUGGAAUUCCUAGUGUAGCGGUGAAAUGCGUAGAUAUUAGGAGGAACACCAGUGGCGAAGGCGACUUUCUGGACAGUAACUGACGUUGAGGCACGAAAGUGUGGGGAGCAAACAGGAUUAGAUACCCUGGUA